Oncorhynchus tshawytscha (Chinook salmon) is the source of this 1610-nucleotide long non-coding RNA. RefSeq lists it as uncharacterized. The transcript has 4 exons. The record is from RefSeq and is a predicted model, not a curated record. Lineage: Eukaryota; Metazoa; Chordata; Actinopteri; Salmoniformes; Salmonidae.
AAAAGCAGAUCUCCUGUUUUGUCCUUUAUAAUUCUUGAUACUGACCCUGCUCUGCUGUAGCCAUGACGACCAUGCUGCUGAGCGCACUAGGAGCACUGCUCUGCUCCUUGGUUGUCACCGCUGAGGUCAUGCCGCAAGGAGACUUCAAUCUACAGGGGGUAGCAGGAAAGUGGUACGUGAUUGGAUUUGCCACUAAUGCCCAUCAACCACAAGGCCAGCAUGAAGAUGGGCAACGCCAUGCUGACACCAACUGCUGAUGGAGACCAGGAAAUGGCAUAUUCUAGCCGGAAGUAAGAGAGAAAGAGAGAGACAUUGUGCUGAUUCUGUAUUAACUGUAUUGUCUCUGUAGCGCUGAUGGCUCCUGCUGGAGAAGGAACCACCUGGCCAAGAAGACACUUCUGGGGGAAAUUAAUCUUCAAGAGCGAGUGCUGGAGUAAUGAAAAUGACAUGCGUGUCGUUGAUGUUAAGUAUGACGAGUAUGCUCUUAUUCACACCAAGACCAAGGGUGUUUCAGCUGUGCUCACCAACCUGUAUGUAUAUUUAGUGUGCCAUGUAUUGUACCGUGGGACAGACCUGAGCCCUGGCCUGCUGCAGAAGUUUAGGCAGUUCUCCCUGGACACUGGCUAUCCUCCCCAAAAAAUGAUACAGCUCAUCUGUACAACCCAUUUGUGAAGUAUGUUUAUGUUGCACAAUAUUUCUUGAUAGAAGUGUGGAAUGUUUCAGACAUAGUUAUCAACCGUAUUUCUCUCUUUCUGCAGAUGAGUGUCCGUCCUGCUGUGAAAUUUCAUCCAUGUUUUUUACUUUCUAAACGUGCUCCCUUGAUCAGUCUGCAUGGCAUUGCUACUCGGCCGGUAGACCCAUGGCAACUGUGGCAACCAUUUACCACCUUUAGCUCCGUUGGCCCAUCAGGCUCCACCUUCACUAGGCAAUUCAGAUGCAAGUUCAUCCCAGCGUAGCUGUAAACUCUGUUAGUUUUUCACUUCUCUGACUUGCUCCAAUGAAAUACUGUCUCGUGCUUUUUUCAGUUUGUCAGUCACUCUACUCGUCGGAUGACUAGAAUAUGUUGGGUAUUUAAUACCUCUGAUCCUAAGAUAGCUGCUUUAGAAGUCUGUGUUGAUCAAAUGUAAUGUAAACCCAGCUCUAAAAGUAACCUUGGUGUACCAUCAUUCUAUUGAAAAUGUUAUCCUACUUCUUGCAAGUACAUCCAUAACACAGCUCUUAUUCCUCCUUUUGUUAAGGGUUUACAUCUACACUCUUUAUUUACAAAUGUGUACAAAACAAUAAUUUACCUCCUAUAGAAUUCUAGUUACACUGAAUUAUACAACAAAGUUCAUGAUGAUGAAAUAAAUAUAACAACAAAAAUGAUCACAGGGGAAGGGACUGUCGAAGCAAAUAUACCACCAGUCUUUACAAGUUGUAUUAUCCUCAGGGGACUAAUGCCUCUCCCUGGCCACUGGCAUAAGUAGAUGUGUGUUUGGGUAAAGGAAGUAUGUUGUGGCCAUGAGUCUGUGGUACCAGAUCUAGUGCAAUCUAACUCUGAAGGCCUUGCUGGCGCUACAUCCUAUUUCAGGUGUCUGAUAAUCAAGCUUAUUAGGGGUUAAAUAAACUGU